GCCGAAAUAGCUCAGUUGGCAGAGCGCUAGACUGAAGAUCUAAAGGACCCUGCUUUGAUCCUGGGUUUUGGCA
Danio rerio (zebrafish) is the source of this 73-nucleotide non-coding RNA. Lineage: Eukaryota; Metazoa; Chordata; Actinopteri; Cypriniformes; Danionidae. The record is from Rfam.